Manis pentadactyla (Chinese pangolin) is the source of this 3193-nucleotide long non-coding RNA. RefSeq lists it as uncharacterized. The transcript has 3 exons. Lineage: Eukaryota; Metazoa; Chordata; Mammalia; Pholidota; Manidae. The record is from RefSeq and is a predicted model, not a curated record.
AGAGGGAGAAAAAAAAGAUUCAGGGAUUCGAAUUUUGUUUCCAGGAUGACUCAGCCUAUUACCUGCAAAAUAACUCCAGCACAAUUUAUAGGAAGAGGUGUGGAGAGAAAUUUAUGUGUGUUUAAUAAACACAGAAAAUUCUGCUGUGUUCAAGGGGCGUCACUUUCCUGCCUUCAGCAGUGUUACAGCUAGUCCCAUCUUUGAACAGUAUUCAGACUUUAUCUCUGACAUUUGGUGGCCUCCAGGACAAAGGCAUAGCAGAAAUCUCUUCUUUUGGGGGUGCUUACAGAUAGUUAUGAUGACCAUAGAUCUGAACUGGGUUCAAAUCCCAUCUACACCAUUUGUGAGCUGACUUUGGGCAAGCUGUUUAUUCUCUUUGAACCUCAGUAUCCACACCUCUAAGGAAACUAACACCGCUGUCUCCCUAUAACCAACAGAGAUGGAGGUUAAAAAAAUUACUAGAAUUACUGACACCAAAAACUAAUUCUUGGUGGGUCCCUUGUCUUUGUUCCCUUCUGCUGCCCCAAGGCUUAAAUCUAAGGGAAUCAGGCCAUUUACACAGGAUAUUUUCUUAAAAUGUUUUUUAAAGGGAAAUUUGCAAGCUAACGUGAUCAGCAACAUUAAUUUAAUACAUUGUUGAGCAACUAUAACAUGUACACACUAUUCUAGGUACCAGUUUGAGGGCCCCAAACACAUAGAUGACAAAGUCAUAGUGUCUUUCUGCUUGGGGACACCACACGUCCAUAAAACUUGUGGCCCAAGGUGGCAACCACAUGAGUUCCUCUUCCUGAGGUUAGCACUCUUCCUGUCAAACUUCAGUACUAUUUAAAUGAAGAUUCCCUGCAACCCUGAAUUUUUUUUUUAAAUGCUUUGCAUCUGCUUGCUAACCCUAGUAAAAUAGGGACUGUCCUCUGGGCUAAGGAGGAAUGAAUCUGCAUUCCCACCACAUCCUGGCAGCAGUGACAGAAGAAACUGACAAUCAGCAUCUCCUCUUGGCCCACCUGUAAUCUUUUCACAGUGCCUUGGGCCAGAGAUUGCAAACUGGGAGCUACUAGAUGGACCAGACCUGAGGACAUUUGCUACAUGGCUGACACAGUGCUUUGUAAACUUGAGCCAGCAGUUAAUAUUCAGUCAACACGAUAUGAAAUUUCAGACUACUUUGCUUGGCAGGAGUCCAGAGGAGGUGGACUCCGAGCAGUGGCUGACCCUUUAGAAAGGGCAUGUGCUCCCAAGUUAACCUCAGAGCCCUGUUGGCAGACCCCUUCCCCCAGGAGGCGGCACACAGGGGAACAUCCCGCCUCUUCCCAGCCUUGCUGAUGGGGUGAUAGGGAAGCUGGUUCCUUCUGUUCCAGACUGGGUUUGUUCUCCUUGGUUCUUGUUCCACCAUGACAAGGAACUGAAGGGCAGAGGCACAGUAGCAAAGCAGAGUGAAAGUUUUGUUUGAAUGCCCUUCAAGGGAGGAGCCCACCAGAGUCAAGGUGGACAAAGGCCCGAACUCUAGGCAGGAGGCCUUUAUGUUACAUUCUGGCUGGGAGGCGCCUUGGCGGCUGACAAGGGGGUGCUAUUUGGCCGACAGGUCCAUCUGCACAGCCUCACUCCCGGUGAGCCCGUCCUCUCCCGCUGAGGUGUGGGGGGCAGCUCUUAGUUCCGUCCCAUUGUGCCCGGCUGGGAUCUGGCUGGGGGGGAAGCCAUCCCCCUGCAAACCUGUCUCCACAUGGGACCCUUCCUGGGCCGAGUUUGGGCGGCUUUUUCUUUGAACCUUAACUUCCCUCUUCCGGCUGCCCGUGCCUAUCUAUCUAACAUUCCGAACAGUUGUCACCCCCCACUCUCUCUUUUCUUCCCACAGACCCCAAGGGAUUAUGACAUGUAGCAAGACGGAAGAGCACUUAAACUUAAAAUAGACCUCAAAGCCUUCAAAAUAUAUUUUGGGCCCAGAUGACUGGUUAUCAGAACUCAAGGAGCUGUAGAAGCCACUUCUUUGGAAGGCAUGCAGGCCUUCACAUUAAUGAGGCAACUCUUUAAUUCUGUGAUUCAGUGACAUCAGUGUGUUGCCAAAUUGUCUUGCACUGUGGGCGCUCCCCUCUAAUGAGAACCUUUAUUCAUGUCCUAAAUAGAAUUAAAUUCAAGUGUCCUGACCCAGAUGAAUUAUAGGCCAGACUACCCAGAGAACCCAGGAAAAGGACUUACAAUGUUUAUCUGUGGUCUUAGAGCAAUCGCAGAUAUUUAAAACAGAGGUGGAAUCUAGAGACAGAAAAAGUAUCCCAUUAAAAAGAAGAGAGUUCAUACAAACACAGCAAACUUGUGAGCAUGACAGAUUGCAGACACAGUUCUAGAAUGGAUUUUAAAGGGGAAAGGGCACUCUGUCCACUCUGCAAGAAAAAUGAUUGAUCCUGUGACCUAGCUUGGGUUAACCACAGACAAGUCAUGUCAGCCUCGCCCUCCCUCCCUUAUUCCACAGCUCUGCCGGUCUAGCUGAGGAAGGAAAUACGCAAGACAGGAGAUCUUCAUUGUUCAACAAUAACUGGUACAGGAAAAGGCCACUUAUGUAAGUCCACUUAUAAGGAAAACCAAAAUUUCAUGUUAAAUAAUGCAAAAACAUUUUUAGUGGGACUUUAUCCUGCAAAACGAAACUUGAAAUCAUGAACUUUUUUCUUCUAUUUUAAAAACCACUUAGUAGACAAAUAUUUACUGCACAACUAUUAUGUGACAGCCCCUGGUGAUGAAUACACAGCAGUGAACAGAUUAGACAAGGUCCUUGCCCUUAUAAUCUAAGGGAAGGCAGGAAAAAAUUUAAACACAAAACUAAGCAAAAUAGUUGCAGUUAGUGAUAAUGACGGUGUUACAAGGAGAUAAAGUAGCGUAACCACAUAAAGAAGGUUAGAUGGGGGAUGGAGAAGGCCCCUCUCUGGACGUGACGUGGGAGCUGACAUUUGAUGAGGAGUCAGGCAGCCACAGUCUGUUGGAGAGAGGGGCCUGGACUGCAGAAACCCCGCAGAGAAUCCAGCUGGGCAGCCCCUGCAAUGGCUGGAGAGUGAGCAAGGAGCACGGGGCCCUGAGGCGUGAGCUGUGGCACAGUCAGAUGAGGCGGGCCUGGGAGGCCAUGGGAAAGGGUUUGGAUUUUAUAAAUGUGACGAGAAGCCACUGGAGGGAUUUCAGUGUGGAAUGACACGAUCUGAUUUAUGUUUAAAAGGUG